This 468-nucleotide ribosomal RNA is filed under the name uncultured bacterium. RNAcentral describes it as "partial 16S ribosomal RNA". It matches the Rfam family "Bacterial small subunit ribosomal RNA", at positions 28 to 507 of the family's 1533-position model. The record is from RNAcentral.
GACGAACGCUGGCGGCGUGCUUAACACAUGCAAGUCGAACGGAAAGGCCCUGCUUUUGUGGGGUGCCCGAGUGGCGAACGGGUGAGUAACACGUGAGUAACCUGCCCUUGACUUUGGGAUAACUUCAGGAAACUGGGGCUAAUACCGGAUAGGAGCUCCUGCUGCAUGGUGGGGGUUGGAAAGUUUCGGCGGUUGGGGAUGGACUCGCGGCUUAUCAGCUUGUUGGUGGGGUAGUGGCUUACCAAGGCUUUGACGGGUAGCCGGCCUGAGAGGGUGACCGGCCAAAUUGGGACUGAGAUACGGCCCAGACUCCUACGGGAGGCAGCAGUGGGGAAUAUUGCACAAUGGGCGGAAGCCUGAUGCAGCAACCCCGCGUGCGGGAUGACGGCCUUCGGGUUGUAAACCGCUUUCGCCUGCGACGAAGCGUGAGUGACGGUAAUGGGUAAAGAAGCACCGGCUAACUACGUG